UGCUCGAUCCUGUCUGUGUCUGUAUUCGGUCGCAGUGUUAACCGAAAUUUUCAACGGUAAAUCGCGUGUGCUCGUGAAAAAGUAACAUCCAGCGGUUGGCCUCAGGAUUCUGAAUGCGUUCCUGGUGUUGGACACAUCCGCCGGGUGUUCGAACUGUUCCGACGAUGGCGAAGAGUUUUGCUUUAAAACAACGAAUGUUUCAGGGAACAUUUCGCCUACGGGGUGAACUUCGCGCUCGAUUUGGACGAGGAAAGCCGCAACAGAAUCACUCGACAAGAUCGCCAAGAAGUUGGCUUUUCUACAAGGACGAUCGUGGAUGGCGUGUGGCCCAAUUUGUGCUGCCGGGGAGUACCAGUCCGGUCGCAAUCAUCAGACGAUAGAGGAACAUCAUUGCACAUGGGUCAAAUGAUCACCAAGGGAACAUUCCCAACACAACCGGCACUAACGAAACCAGCAAAUCAAUCCGGAGUCUCCAGUCGACAAAAAGGAGCCGGUGGUCAGUUUAAACGCACCAUGACAUCACCCAUCCGAGGAGAAACAAGAAUCGGUCGCGAUCGAGAUCGAAAGCGAAAGAAAGCGGCUUCGUUUUGGUGUUUGCAAAACUCUAGAGAAGACAUUAUCAAUUAACAAUUGAAAAAAAAAAACAAAGUUAUUCAAUGUUGAAUGUAAAUAAAUUACAAUGAAUAAUAUAAAAGUACUGUAAAACAUA
Molecule: long non-coding RNA, 709 nt
Organism: Culex quinquefasciatus (southern house mosquito)
Lineage: Eukaryota; Metazoa; Arthropoda; Insecta; Diptera; Culicidae
Exons: 3
Source: RefSeq, a predicted model, not a curated record